This 444-nucleotide ribosomal RNA is filed under the name uncultured bacterium. RNAcentral describes it as "bacterial SSU rRNA". It matches the Rfam family "Bacterial small subunit ribosomal RNA", at positions 336 to 772 of the family's 1533-position model. The record is from RNAcentral.
CUCCUACGGGAGGCAGCAGUGGGGAACUUUUGACAAUGGGCGCAAGCCUGAUCCAGCAAUGCCGCGUGCAGGAUGAAGGCCUUCGGGUUGUAAACUGCUUUUGUACAGAACGAAAAGUCUUGGGUUAAUACCCUGGGACCAUGACGGUACUGUAAGAAUAAGCACCGGCUAACUACGUGCCAGCAGCCGCGGUAAUACGUAGGGUGCAAGCGUUAAUCGGAAUUACUGGGCGUAAAGCGUGCGCAGGCGGUUAUGUAAGACAGAGGUGAAAUCCCCGGGCUCAACCUGGGAACGGCCUUUGUGACUGCAUAGCUAGGGUACGGUAGAGGGGGAUGGAAUUCCGCGUGUAGCAGUGAAAUGCGUAGAUAUGCGGAGGAACACCGAUGGCGAAGGCAAUCCCCUGGACCUGUACUGACGCUCAUGCACGAAAGCGUGGGGAGCAAA